This 785-nucleotide long non-coding RNA is filed under the name Setaria viridis. RNAcentral's name for it is "long non-coding RNA (SVIR_LNC005812)". The record is from RNAcentral. Lineage: Eukaryota; Viridiplantae; Streptophyta; Magnoliopsida; Poales; Poaceae.
CUUAUCGGAUGGGUAGGUGCCAUCUCAGCCAGAGCAAUGUCCUACACAAUACAUAGCAGAAUAAAACUUCAUAAGAAAACAGUGUAAAGACUAACAGUAAGCAACUAAGCAUUCAAAGAAAUGAACUUGUCAUCCUAUACUAGAUGAAUAGAGACAGUUGUCAUAUUAUCAGAACAGAAAAAAUGAACAAACCUGAGCAGCCUUGUAGGCCACCAUCGUGCUCUCAGCAGAUUCCUUCCUCUCUGUGCCAGUCUUAAAUUCCGCAAGAUACCUGCCAUAGUUAAGAAGAACAGGAAGGUUAAGAAAUCUGGUUGGUUUCUUCAGAUUAUAGUUAUACAGAUAUGAUUGCACAUCAUAAUAUUGCAUUGCAUCCUUCCCAACCUGUGAUAAUCACCCUUCAUCUUGAGGUAGAAGACCUUUGAUUCGGCAGCAGUAGAAGAAGGAACUAGGUGGGAAUCAAGCAGCUUCAGGAUGCCAUCACAGAUAUUGCUCAAUUCAGCCUCAAUCUUCCCACGGUAUUCCUUGAUAAGGUUCACAUGCUCUUCAUUCUUACGGGACUCCUCCUUCUGUUCAAUGGAAGAGACAAUGCGCCAUGAAGCACGGCGAGCCCCAAUCACAUUCUUGUAUGCAACAGACAGGAGGUUACGCUCCUCAACAGUGAGCUCUUCAACAUCUACAGUCUUAGCCACCUUCUCCAUAUACUCAACCAUCUCCUCAUACCUUUCAGCCUGCUCAGCCAGCUUGGCCAUGUAAACAUUCUCCUCCCUCGACAUAUUGACAAAAGA